GACGAACGCUGGCGGCGUGCUUAACACAUGCAAGUCGAACGGAAAGGCCCUGCUUUUGUGGGGUGCUCGAGUGGCGAACGGGUGAGUAACACGUGAGUAACCUGCCCUUGACUUUGGGAUAACUUCAGGAAACUGGGGCUAAUACCGGAUAGGAGCUCCUGCUGCAUGGUGGGGGUUGGAAAGUUUCGGCGGUUUGGGAUGGACUCGCGGCUUAUCGGCUUGUUGGUGGGGUAGUGGCUUACCAAGGCUUUGACGGGUAGCCGGCCUGAGAGGGUGACCGGCCACAUGGGGACUGAGGUACGCCCCAGACUCCAACGGGAGGCAGCAGUGGGGAAUAUUGCACAGUGGGCGGAAGCCUGAUGCAGCAACGCCGCGUGCGGGAUGACGGCCUUCGGGUUGUAAACCGCUUUCGCCGGAGACGAAGCGUGAGUGACGGUAAUGGGUAAAGAAGCACCGGCUAACUACGUG
This 468-nucleotide ribosomal RNA is filed under the name uncultured bacterium. RNAcentral describes it as "partial 16S ribosomal RNA". It matches the Rfam family "Bacterial small subunit ribosomal RNA", at positions 28 to 507 of the family's 1533-position model. The record is from RNAcentral.